AGGUCCACAAUUUGAACUGGGAAUUCUAAGGGGUUGACCAUCUCUACCAAGUGAGAUGGUCUCUAUAUGUUGGCUGGUUAGAGCACUGUCUUAGAACUGGGAAAGCCAGGUCCAAUGACUGAUCAAACCACCUUACCAGUAAGACACCUAACGAUAUAUGUCUGCCUACCUCAAAUCCAGGCUGUAAUGUGUCAGAAUCAGCAUGUGUCAAAUUUAAAACUUGUUUUCCUUAAGAAACCAAAGAAAAUGAGUGUGUGUUAAAAAACAUCACUUUGUUAAAUAGAGAGAUAACUAAUUGACUUCAAAAAAGGUAUUAUAAUGAAUCAGCACUACUUGCUAAAAAUUUACCACUGUCAAAACUUAUCAGCCAAUUAUCUGUAAUAAUUUCACAGGUAAAAAAAAAAAAAUUCUCAAUUUGAAGUACUGUAGUUUGUCUGACAACUUUGAUCACAUAAUUAUUUUAUUCAUUUUUAAUGAGGCAGCCAGUGAAUGGCGGUAGAGUGAUAGAGAGACAAAGAGAGAUAGUAAGUUACCCUCUUCAAUUCUGUAUGUCUGAACAUUAUGACAAUUUUAGCAAUAAUUACCGAAACCUCUGCCCAGUAUAAUUUCACCAGAUGUAACAUAUACACAUUUUGCAUGUCUCUUUUCUAACAAGUCUCAGUAAAAUGUUGGCUUUUGAUGAACCACGAUCCUUUAAAAUUUGAAACGGAUUGUGGCCUUAACAUGAUGCAUGUAAUGAAAUAGAUCUUCCAUUCCGAUGUACUUAAUGAUCUUCUUUCUUGGUAAGCCAUUGCUUUACUGCUAAGCAUCUAUGACAGAACGAGUUUCCAUAGAACCUAGGUAUCAUCUUAUAACAU
Non-coding RNA from Pelobates cultripes (western spadefoot toad), 857 nucleotides. The record is from the annotation of a GenBank genome assembly. Lineage: Eukaryota; Metazoa; Chordata; Amphibia; Anura; Pelobatidae.